CUAGCCUUGACAUAUAUUAGAACUCUGCAGAGAUGCGGGGGUGCCUUCGGGAGCUUUUAUACAGGUGCUGCACGGCUGUCGUCAGCUCGUGUCGUGAGAUGUUGGGUUAAGUCCCGCAACGAGCGCAACCCUCGUUCUUAGUUACUAACGGUUCGGCCGAGGACUCUAAGAAGACUGCCUUCGCAAGGAGGAGGAAGGUGAGGACGACGUCAAGUCAUCAUGGCCCUUACGGCUAGGGCAACACACGUGCUACAAUGGCCAGGACAAUGAGACGCAAUACCGCGAGGUGGAGCAAAUCUAUAAACCUGGUCUCAGUUCGGAUUGUAGUCUGCAACUCGACUACAUGAAGCUGGAAUCACUAGUAAUCGUAGAUCAGCUAUGCUACGGUGAAUACGUUCCC
This 400-nucleotide ribosomal RNA is filed under the name uncultured bacterium. Its description in RNAcentral is "bacterial SSU rRNA". It matches the Rfam family "Bacterial small subunit ribosomal RNA", at positions 975 to 1375 of the family's 1533-position model. The record is from RNAcentral.